RNAcentral lists this ribosomal RNA (494 nucleotides) under uncultured bacterium. RNAcentral's name for it is "partial 16S ribosomal RNA". It matches the Rfam family "Bacterial small subunit ribosomal RNA", at positions 31 to 507 of the family's 1533-position model. The record is from RNAcentral.
GAACGCUGGCGGCGUGCCUAAUACAUGCAAGUCGAGCGAACGGACGAGAAGCUUGCUUCUCUGAUGUUAGCGGCGGACGGGUGAGUAACACGUGGAUAACCUACCUAUAAGACUGGGAUAACUUCGGGAAACCGGAGCUAAUACCGGAUAAUAUUUUGAACCGCAUGGUUCAAAAGUGAAAGACGGUCUUGCUGUCACUUAUAGAUGGAUCCGCGCUGCAUUAGCUAGUUGGUAAGGUAACGGCUUACCAAGGCAACGAUGCAUAGCCGAGCUGAGAGGGUGAUCGGCCACACUGGAACUGAGACACGGUCCAGACUCCUACGGGAGGCAGCAGUAGGGAAUCUUCCGCAAUGGGCGAAAGCCUGACGGAGCAACGCCGCGUGAGUGAUGAAGGUCUUCGGAUCGUAAAACUCUGUUAUUAGGGAAGAACAUAUGUGUAAGUAACUGUGCACAUCUUGACGGUACCUAAUCAGAAAGCCACGGCUAACUACGUG